CUGCAGCCCGAGUGGUGAUCGAUUUUAUUGAGCCUAAAGCGUCCGUAGCCGGACUAGUAAACCCUUGGGUAAAUUGGGCAGCUUAACUGUCCGAAUUCCGAGGGGACUGCUAGUCUUGGGACCGGGAGAGGUCAGAGGUACUCCAGGGGUAGGGGCUAAAUCAGAUAUGGUUUUGAGCCAGUCGGUUAGCAUUCCUGUAAUCCUUGGGGGACCACCAGUGGCGAAGGCGUCUGACUAGAACGGAUCCGACGGUAAGGGACGAAACCCUGGGGCGCGAACCGGAUUAGAUACCCGCGUAGUCC
RNAcentral lists this ribosomal RNA (302 nucleotides) under uncultured archaeon. RNAcentral describes it as "partial 16S ribosomal RNA". It matches the Rfam family "Archaeal small subunit ribosomal RNA", at positions 477 to 747 of the family's 1478-position model. The record is from RNAcentral.